AACGCAACUUGCGCCCCUUUGGGGCAUGUCUGUUUGAGAACCGCAUCUAUCUAACCCCUUGGGGUUGAAACUGUGCCAAGCUGCGCAAGCGGCUGGUGCGAAAUGCAGCAUGUAGGGGCAGAAAGGCCGAUCGUGUGCUGGAGACUUUGGUCUUGUCACGACGCGGCGCGUAUGCUCUUUGUUUUUUGUGUUUUGUAUAUUUUUUAUGUAUGAUGAUGAUUAUAUGAUUUUAUAUUAGUAUAAUUUUGUACAAGUAUAAUUUUAUAUUAGUAUAAUUUUAUACGAUUAUACAUACAUACAUAUACACAAUAACAAUACAAAAUAACAAAUAACACUACAAAAAUGGUCUCAAAUCAGGCAAGACUACCCGCUGAACUUAA
This 380-nucleotide unclassified non-coding RNA is filed under the name uncultured fungus. RNAcentral's name for it is "sequence contains ITS2". The record is from RNAcentral. Lineage: Eukaryota; Fungi.